This 316-nucleotide ribosomal RNA is filed under the name uncultured eukaryote. RNAcentral's name for it is "partial 18S ribosomal RNA". It matches the Rfam family "Eukaryotic small subunit ribosomal RNA", at positions 1470 to 1796 of the family's 1831-position model. The record is from RNAcentral.
CCCUUAGAUGUUCUGGGCCGCACGCGCGCUACACUGACUACUUCAACGAGUUGUUUCCUUGAUCGAAAGGUCUGGGUAAUCUUUGAAAGGUAGUCGUGAUGGGGAUAGAUCUUUGGAAUUAUUGAUCUUGAACGAGGAAUGCCUAGUAAUCGUAGGUCAUCAGCCUGCGAUGAUUACGUCCCUGCCCUUUGUACACACCGCCCGUCGCUCCUACCGAUUUCGAGUGGUUCGGUGAACCUUUCGGACCGGCAAUGCCUCGUGUUGCGCCGGAAAGUCAAGUAAACCAUAUCACUUAGAGGAAGGAGAAGUCGUAACA